This 115-nucleotide non-coding RNA is filed under the name Bordetella sp. RNAcentral's name for it is "Glycine sequence". It matches the Rfam family "Glycine riboswitch aptamer". Rfam says of the family: This family represents the bacterial glycine riboswitch. Glycine riboswitches usually consist of two metabolite-binding aptamers domains with similar structures in tandem. Lineage: Bacteria; Pseudomonadati; Pseudomonadota; Betaproteobacteria; Burkholderiales; Alcaligenaceae. RNAcentral also lists the same sequence under 1 other name. The record is from RNAcentral.
ACACAGCGCUCUGGAGAGAGCCGGCCAUCCGCGCGAUGCGCGAUGCGACCGGACGCCGAAGGUGCAAACCCGUCAACGCGGGGCAACUCUCAGGCAAAAGGACAGAGGGGCGGAA